UGGGGAAUAUUGCACAAUGGGCGCAAGCCUGAUGCAGCAACGCCGCGUGAGGGAUGACGGCCUUCGGGUUGUAAACCUCUUUUAGCAGGGAAGAAGCGAAAGUGACGGUACCUGCAGAAAAAGCACCGGCUAACUACGUGCCAGCAGCCGCGGUAAUACGUAGGGUGCAAGCGUUGUCCGGAAUUAUUGGGCGUAAAGAGCUCGUAGACGGUCUGUCGCGUCUGCUGUGAAAUCCCCGAGGCUCAACCUCGGGCCUGCAGUGGGUACGGGCAGACUAGAGUGCGGUAGGGGAGAAUGGAACUCCUGGUGUAGCGGUGGAAUGCGCAGAUAUCAGGAAGAACACCGAUGGCGAAGGCAGUUCUCUGGGCCGUAACUGACGCUGAGGAGCGAAAGCGUGGGGAGCGAACAGGAUUAGAUACCCUGGUAGUCCACGCCGUAAACGUUGGGCGCUAGAUGUGGGGACCAUUCCACGGUUUCCGUGUCGCAGCUAACGCAUUAAGCGCCCCGCCUGGGGAGUACGGCCGCAAGGCUAAAACUCAAAUGAAUUGACGGGGUCAUAGCUG
RNAcentral lists this ribosomal RNA (563 nucleotides) under uncultured bacterium. RNAcentral's name for it is "partial 16S ribosomal RNA". It matches the Rfam family "Bacterial small subunit ribosomal RNA", at positions 355 to 932 of the family's 1533-position model. The record is from RNAcentral.